Molecule: long non-coding RNA, 2961 nt
Organism: Bombus huntii
Lineage: Eukaryota; Metazoa; Arthropoda; Insecta; Hymenoptera; Apidae
Exons: 2
Source: RefSeq, a predicted model, not a curated record
GCACACGAGCGUAAUCGUUCUCGUCCUCGAUGGGUUUCACGUAGUACGGUGGGUUCGCGUUUAUCGUAUCGAUGAAGGCUAUCGAUGCUAUCGCCAAGCUCUGUAAUGUGAAUCAUUCAUUGAAUUAAGCUUUUCGCGUAACUAUUGAGGUUUAAGAAGGUCCAGCAGCGUAAAAGGGACAUCGAUAAACAUCGAUAUCAUUUCGUGACAUCGAUUGCGAAUAAAAUUUCGUGUUCAUAUCGGCGAUAUCGGUCGAUGUGUACGUGAAAUGAGUUUGGAACCGCGUUUGGUGCGACGUGUACUUCGUACAGUCCGGCGUUACAUUCUUUCUAAGAAAUUCUCAAGGUUCGUCGACCAUGUAAUAUCUGUAUGACAAACGCCAAUACCCUUUGCAAACACGAAGCUUAUUGUAAACUCGUGUUCUCGCAUUUUUACCACUACGGCCGACGACGAAAUUUGUCCACACGCGGCUCGCUGCUACGCGGACUUUAAUAUUUGCGAUCUUACGCGGGGAUUUCGUUGCAAACAUGAAACGUAGUACCAGCGUCCGUUGGUACAUGCGAGUUUCUGCAGUUUCUGUGUAAUAGAAAAAGUCGACGAACCGAAGGUUUUCUCUUUUUGCUACGUUGGAAAUUAUUUUCACUGAAAGUUUCUUUCCUACACCAUGUAAAGAAUUACAGAAAGAAAUUAACAGAUGUGUAAAAUUACUUUUACUAGAAGUUCGUUUGUUUCGCUAUGUAGAAGAUUAUAGCAAAAAAUGAAUUUUAUGUAUAAUUAAAGUAACGUGCAAAAAUCUUAAACCACUUACAAAAUAGAACCGUUUUGCUCUUACGAAGAGAGAAUCCUUGGUAUGAUUUAAGAAUUAUCGAUUAACGCAAAAGAUUAAAGAUAAUUAAUAGUAAUUAAUAAAAAUGGAAAAUACAUUUUUUCUUUUUUCACAUCUGGUUGUUAGCAACGCCAAUAUGAACAGAGAUAGACAUUUAGCAGUUAGAUUUUUCAAAAUAUCGAUAUCUCUUUCAGGAAGGAGAAAACGAUUGAAACUUGAUCUUUAUUACAGAGAUCUUCACCCGAAGUUCUUUUGAUCCGGUAUUUAUCGCGAAAAAAUUUAAUCUGAAGCAAUUAAUAUUUAAAGUGGCCGUCAUUGACUUUGCGGGCUUUCAGAAAUUCAUUUACAAAUGUGAUGGUUGUCUUAUGAUCUCCAAGCCACUGAAUCGCAGGAAAGGUGAAUUAAUCAAAUCGAUCGAUACUUUCUUUAAUUAGACGAUUUAUUUAUGCAAGAGUAAUCCCGUUCGAAGGUCGAUCCCAUCAGACAGUAAGAAUGCAGACUCGCGUGAUGGUAAUACACGUCUGCUUAGUAAGACAUGGGGACCGGAAGUCGAUGUCCCGGCUGCUACUUCCGGCCACACGAAGGAGUCUACAGCUCGUCAAUGUCAGAUCCAAGGAGGGAAAAUUCGAUUUCACCAUAUCGAAAUGUCAUCUGAUAUAAAAUUAGAAAUGGAUAUUGCACAUUUUCAGAGACGUAUAAUUUAAUAUACAUAAUAUAAAAAGUAUAGUAAGUUAUUUACAUUUUACACGAUUCUCAUCCAUUUCUUUUACAGCUGAUGAUAUUUAAUUGUUUUUAAAUGUAUUAUUUUUACACCAUCCUAUAUUAUAUCUGGAUAUUUCUAUACUAUAAAAUAUUUAACAGUUUAAUAUUAUUUUUAUAUCGUACGUAUAUUCAUAUAUUUAUACUAGAGUUUUAAAAGUGCUUACGUUUAGAAAAAGGAGGAAUCAUACGUUCAUCGAUGUUUACUUUGCAAUUUACUAUUUUGUCGUAAAGUAAUUUGUAGAAUAAAAAUCACGUUAUCAUCUCCAAAGAUGCAAUAAUGUAAAAUAAGUUAAUAAAACGAAAGUUCAAUGGCAACUAGUUUGUCGAAAUUGCGAGUGAGCGUGUUGUGUUCGAUGAAACGAACAUCGAGUUUUUCGGCGUUUGAUUUCGCGCGAGUCAAUUCGAACGCGUUGCAUCGCGCCAGUAGCAACAAUAAGUAUUCAAAACGACGUCUCGCGUCGGCAUUUUGUUCGAUGAGCAAGCACAUAUGUAAGUGUGUGUACGUAUGAAUCGAAAAGACAUGACGUAACACGUGACGAUAGAAUGGAAUCUUACGUGUAUUUGAUACGAAGCGAUAAGAAAUACAUACAUAUAAAAUUAGUAACGCUCUUAUAAUUCCAUGACUUACAAUUAAAAGUGAUAUAAGUAGCUAUGUAUAUAUAUACAGGGUGGUUGGUAACUGGUGGUACAAGCGGAAAGGGGGCGAUCCUACGCGAAAAAAGAAGUCGAAAAUAUAGAAUAAAAAUUUUUCGUUUGAGGCUUUGUUUUCGAGAAAAUCGACUUUGAAUUUUCGCUCGGUACGCGUGCACUUUAUCAUGCCUCGUUAUAACGGAUCUCAUUGUAGAUCGUUGUCUCGAUGGAAAAAUUAAAAAAAAAGAAAAGAAAUUUUUACUCUAUAUUUUCGACUUCUUUUUUCGCGUAGAAUCACCCCCUUUCCGCUUGUACCACCAGUUACCAACCACCCUGUAUAUCAAAAUAUUUAAUUGUUAAUAUUACAAUAUUAUAAUAAUCCAUUAAUGUAAUUACCCUACUAUUGUGUGCUAAUCUUGUUAUUGUUAAUUUAUCUUUUAAUCUUUUGUAUCUUACCUUCCUUCCUUAUAUUUUAUAAUUAUAUUUUAAUAUAAUUAAUAUAAUUUUUCUUUUAAUAAAAUCAAUAUAAAAUAAAUAUAAUCUUUCAUUAUACGUGAUAUUAUGCGCCAAUAUAAUAACUAUAAUUUAUACGUGACAAAGUCAAAUUAUUCGGUAAAAAACUCAUACGAGGAACUAUAGAUCAAUUUUUCAGGAUGAGUGGUUGCAAACAUGCUGAUUAUAAACGUUAUAAAAUGACUGAUGUUGUACAACGACACGUGUCAUAAAUUAAUUUGCUAUUUGAA